RNAcentral lists this ribosomal RNA (256 nucleotides) under uncultured bacterium. RNAcentral describes it as "partial 16S ribosomal RNA". It matches the Rfam family "Bacterial small subunit ribosomal RNA", at positions 524 to 777 of the family's 1533-position model. The record is from RNAcentral.
UACAGAGGGUGCGAGCGUUAAUCGGAAUUACUGGGCGUAAAGCGUGCGUAGACGGUAGCGUAAGUCAGAUGUGAAAGCCCCGGGCUCAACCUGGGAAUUGCAUUUGAGACUGCUCUGCUCGGGUGCGGAAGAGGGAAGCGGAAUUUCCGGUGUAGCGGUGAAAUGCGUAGAUAUCGGAAGGAACACCAGUGGCGAAAGCGGCUUCCUGGUCCGACACCGACGUUCAGGCACGAAAAGCGUGGGGGAGCAAACAGGG